Molecule: ribosomal RNA, 468 nt
Filed under: uncultured bacterium
Lineage: Bacteria
Description: partial 16S ribosomal RNA
Rfam family: Bacterial small subunit ribosomal RNA
Source: RNAcentral
GACGAACGCUGGCGGCGUGCUUAACACACGCAAGUCGAACGGAAAGGCCCUGCUUUUGUGGGGUGCUCGAGUGGCGAACGGGCGAGUAACACGUGAGUAACCUGCCCUUGACUUUGGGAUAACUUCAGGAAACUGGGGCUAAUACCGGAUAGGAGCUCCUGCUGCAUGGUGGGGGUUGGAAAGUUUCGGCGGUUGGGGAUGGACUCGCGGCUUAUCAGCUUGUUGGUGGGGUAGUGGCUUACCAAGGCUUUGACGGGUAGCCGGCCUGAGAGGGUGACCGGCCACAUUGGGACUGAGAUACGGCCCAGACUCCUACGGGAGGCAGCAGUGGGGAAUAUUGCACAAUGGGCGGAAGCCUGAUGCAGCAACGCCGCGUGCGGGAUGACGGCCUUCGGGUUGUAAACCGCUUUCGCCUGUGACGAAGCGUGAGUGACGGUAAUGGGUAAAGAAGCACCGGCUAACUACGUG